RNAcentral lists this long non-coding RNA (3814 nucleotides) under Salvator merianae (Argentine black and white tegu). RNAcentral's name for it is "lncRNA (ENSSMRG00000021401.1)". The record is from RNAcentral. Lineage: Eukaryota; Metazoa; Chordata; Lepidosauria; Squamata; Teiidae.
GUGAUGUCUAAUUUGGGGCCCCUGAACCUAUUCAUCCUAGGUGACCAAUGUUUGGGGUGGGCUUGAUGCCAAGUCUCUUUACCAAGCCAAUCAAGUAGAAGAAUAUGUUUUUGAAAUACUUCCUAUAUUAUGUCACAUGCAAUUCAUCACAUAUGACCAACAGCAAUUGUGUUUGCCUUCUUACUACAGAACGAUUGUGUAUGUGCCUAAUUAGAAAAAAGCCUAGUGUGUUCAUCGCUGCUUUCUCCAAGGAUCUUCAAAUCAGUGGGACACCCCAGAGUUCAUUAGAGGCCUUGAGGAUGCCCAUAGAUCUUCAGAGACACCCCCAUUGUCAGAAGGAGAGAAGCCACAAGAGGUUGGACUACCAUCUGUCUGGAAUGGUUCUGUAAACCUGCAUUAAUUUUUGAGUUGGACUCAAUGACCUCUGGAGAUCCCUUUCAACUCUGCGGUUCUGUGUUUCUAUGGAGUGAUGCAAAUUCUAAAUAUUCUCAUAGGUCCCAAAAGGCUGAUAAUCCCUAGUCCAACUUAUCAGAUUUAAAACAUCCCUGUGAAGUGGAUCGAUGGAAGAGAUUUAGCAGCUUUCAUAAAGAAACAUGAAGAUCAAACCAGAUGCUUCUCCAUAUUUUGCUGCAGGAGGCUAUAGCAAAGAGGCAGAAGAAAUGACCUAGAAAGAAUGUAACCAUUAGCAUCUUCCCAGAAGAAGGUACUACAAACUUCUUUCUGUAAUCUUGCCAAGGAAACUGGAUGAGUGUGACCAAAGCAACUCUCAUUUAUGGGAAAAGUCAAAGUUUCUUUCCUUUUGCCCACCCUAGGACCUUACAGAUAUUUCUGGCUAUAUUUCCCAUUGGUGCCACCCAGCAUAAUCCCUUUCUUCUUCUCUUAUAACCAAGGUGAUAAAAUGAUCCAAGCACAUGUACAGUGACCCAUCCUGUGUAGGCUAUUUUACCUUGGGAUGUAUAAAGACUCACUUGCACUGCCUUCAAUUCCAUUGUCCAGGUACUGGUUCUUCUCAGCCACAAACCAAUAUGCUGGGCUUUCUGCCCCCCAGCCAUUAUAACAAGCAUACAACUGUGAGGCAGCCAUGAAAUAUAAUAUUGUCAUCACAGUUUGGGUGCUGACAAAAUAUUGUUUCUUAAUAACGGCUCAGGAUGGCCAAUAGAUGUGUCUUUUUGGGAACUAUAUCAGACUGCAGACUGAAGGCAUCCUGAGUAGAGUUGACAUUUGUAGCUCUUUAAUAGUGGAGCAGAAGAGGGAUAUCUGCACUGCAAGCCAUUUGGUUGAAAUGUCUUUAUUGGCUCAACUUUAAAGGCCUAGGAGCCCUGACCUGGAUUCCAUAUGGUGACGUUAACCUUGGGAUGUAAUCAAGGAAUCUGAUGGGAGGGUUCCAAUCUGUUGCCUGACAGUGACUUCAUAUGUUGAUUUCUCCUGUAAACACUGUACUUUUGUGUUUGGAAGUAAAGCAAGCAUUAUGUAAUUGCUGUAAGUUUUGGUAGCUCCCUUUCUGAAGCAGUGGUGCUUCCCAGACCUUUUGCUGUUCAGGCAAAUGGAAAAAGUAAUGCAUUAUGACUGAUGUAACAUUAUUGUGAAGUGCAGCAGCACACCUGAAUGGCUUGCAUUUGACUGCCCAAGCUGGCUAUAUCUAGACAUCGCUUACUUAGCAGAAUAAGUAAAUGAUGUCUGAAUGCAGCAAGUCUGGCUACACCUAAGUUUUAAUCCACCAUUGAUCCACCUCCANAACGAACAGGACACAUGAGCAAAGUGACUGGCAAUUUUCCUACCACAUCAUCUAAUCCAAAGGCAUUUUUCUGAAAAGUGGAUACAAUCCUGCUGAAGUGGAGGGGUGUGUGUGUCUAUCUUUGGGGGUUUUUUAACCCCUAAAAUGGUUUAAACAUUUUGGUUUUGGACCUUAGGCAAAAACAGAAGACAAAAAGGAAAGCUGGAGAUGGACAAUUGCUACUUGGAAUGAACUGAGGCAGAAUAUACAAUGCGCUGAGAGAAAGGAGAAGCAGGCUAUGAAUGUGAAUGUUUCUGAAGCAGGACAAGCUGAUUUCUUGGCUAAGUGCCCUCUGGUCAUAUUGUGUGUAGCUGGGCCAUAGACUAUGGCUGAUUUCAGGCAACCAAAACUGAAGCUUCCAGUCAUGUCAUUGCCUUGCCUCUAUAAACUAUGGUUUGCUGCUGCUCUAAUGAAUGCAUCCGUAUACCAACAAAGUUUAGUGAAUUGCACCCUCAGUUUAAAAUCAAAGCAUCCUUUUUAUACCAAGCAGUGCCCAAAUCUGCUAGCAUUCACUUUAGCUAGCAGUUAUUACACCCUUGGGCCUCCUUAGGAAUAUACAAGUGUUGGGUAUCAUAGAAUUUUAGCUAAGAAUGCUAUUCCUUCAGGUGGUGUCUAUUCUUAUGUUUCUAAAUUGAAUCAUUAUGCAUAUACUGUACAGACAUACUGAGUCAGGGCAAUCUAGAUCAGCUCCACUUGUUGCUUUCCUUACAACAGCUUCCAUGAGCCAUAAUCCUUUUGGUUGGAACUGAUGAAAAUUGUAAUCUUCCCACAGUGUUGAAAAGCCUGUUCUAGCCUUGCCUUGCUUACUGAGUCUUUCCAUAUGAUUCUUCUCUCAGGUGCCAGGAAUGAAUUUAGGGCCUUCUGUGUGAAACGUAAUGUCACUGUGUCCCAUUGCCUUGAAGAACUCCAAGAGAAGUUGACUUUUCUAACUCAGAGAUCUAGGCCCUUUCUGCACUUGGCCUUAUUGUGGAUUAUAUCCCAGAAUAGGGACCUGCUAUGCACAUGCUAGUGCAAACUAUGAAAGGUCUUGCCCAGGGUCUACCAUAGUUUGCACUAGCAUGCAGAUGGCAGGUUCCUAUUCUGAGAUAUAAUCUGGAAUAUGUCCAAGUGCAGAAAGGGCCCUACUCUCCAUCAAAGCUAACACCAUAUGUGCUACAUGGUAUGCUAUGUCAGUCCUCCUUCCUUGAGUUUCUGCAGGCAUUGUUGAACUGUUUCUCCCAUCAUCUCUGACUAUUAGCUACAUUAGCUGCACUUCAAACAAUCCAAAGUAUCCAUAUGUCAACAUGUUAAGGCAAUCCAUCAUCAACUAAUUGAUUUGAUGAUCUGUGUGUCUAUUUUUGUGUGAGAAAGAUGUAUUUAAAUUUAUUGUUUUAAUUCUAUUGGUAUGUGUGUUCUGAUCUUGUUAUUUUUUUGCAUUUUAUAUCAUGUUUUUAUUAUUUGUAAGAUCUCCAGAAAAUAUAAAUAUAGUAAACAAACAAAGAAACUUAAUUUUGUAGUCAGGCAUUCAGAUACUUUUUAUAACUUUAAAACAGUUAUGGCCACUGAGGCAGUUCUACAUUGUAAGGGGCCAGAGUGAACCAAACAGAACCAGGGAAUGUUCAUUUGAACAAGCUGAACUAUCCGGUUUGGUUCAAACUGGUUCAAGUUCACCCACAACUGCUCUUUAAAAAGGGCUUUUUACCAAUGAUUUUUAAUGUUAUUUUAAUUUAAACAGGUUCAAACCUGUUCAAGGUUUGAAUGCAAACCAGGUCGAGCCUAUUCAACCUGGUUCAAAUUUUAACUGGACACCAUGUAGUUUGGUUCAAAUUCAAACUGAGCCAACAUUUUUGGUUCCAUGCAUACCUCUAGUUCUAAGCAGAUGUACGCAGAGGUUUUUGUGGGGAAGGAGCAAUCUUUUUUUUAGGAUUGUAAAGUUUAUGAUUCUUUGUCAAAAGCUUUGGCAACAAUUUGUUUAUUAUUUUUUAUAUUUGUAUUUUACCCUACCAGAUUGCAGAGCCCAGGACAAUUUAUGGAUAAAAAUAAACAAAAGCAAUAAUAACA